Molecule: long non-coding RNA, 282 nt
Organism: Gordionus sp. m RMFG-2023
Lineage: Eukaryota; Metazoa; Nematomorpha; Gordioida; Chordodea; Parachordodidae
Exons: 3
Source: RefSeq, a predicted model, not a curated record
AAGGUUACGUAUAUGAAGUGGCUAGCCAAAGCGGAAAAAAUAGCUAUGACGCGUAUGAUAAGAUGGCUGAGGAAAUAUUCAAAGUUAACCUUUUAUCCCGGGCCAAGAAAGACAGGGGAAAAGAUUCGAAAAAUUUGAAUUUAUCGUUGGACAAGCUGGUCGAACUGAAGGAUUAUCGAUUGAUAAGUCAAUUUAGUACGAAAGACUUGAAGGAUUGGUUGAAGAGACACGACGUCAAAGGGUAUUCCAAAUUGAAAAAAGAUGAACUGAUAAAACUCCUGC